RNAcentral lists this ribosomal RNA (253 nucleotides) under uncultured bacterium. RNAcentral describes it as "partial 16S ribosomal RNA". It matches the Rfam family "Bacterial small subunit ribosomal RNA", at positions 524 to 776 of the family's 1533-position model. The record is from RNAcentral.
UACGUAGGUGGCAAGCGUUGUCCGGAUUUACUGGGCGUAAAGAGCGCGCAGGCGGUCGAUUUAGUCGCGUGUGAAAGCCCCCGGCUCAACUGGGGAGGGUCACGCGAUACUGAUCGACUCGAAGGCAGGAGAGGGUAGUGGAAUUCCUGGUGUAGCGGUGGAAUGCGCAGAUAUCAGGAGGAACACCGAUGGCGAAGGCAGUUCUCUGGAACGCAACUGACGCUGAGACGCGAAAGCGUGGGGAGCAAACAGG